This 460-nucleotide ribosomal RNA is filed under the name uncultured bacterium. RNAcentral's name for it is "partial 16S ribosomal RNA". It matches the Rfam family "Bacterial small subunit ribosomal RNA", at positions 338 to 795 of the family's 1533-position model. The record is from RNAcentral.
CCUACGGGUGGCAGCAGUGAGGAAUAUUGGUCAAUGGACGGAAGUCUGAACCAGCCAUGCCGCGUGCAGGAAGACGGCUCUAUGAGUUGUAAACUGCUUUUGUACAAGGGUAAACCUGAACACGUGUAUUCAGCUGAAAGUACUGUAAGAAUAAGGCUCGGCUAACGCCGUGCCAGCAGCCGCGGUAAUACGGAGGAUUCAAGCGUUAUCCGGAUUUAUUGGGUUUAAAGGGUGCGUAGGCGGAUUGAUAAGUGAGAUGUGAAAUGUCCGAGCUUAACUCGGGAACUGCCUCUAAUACUGUUGAUCUAGAGAGUAGGUGCGGUAGGCGGAAUGUAGGGUGUAGCGGUGAAAUGCUUAGAGAUAAUACAGAACACCGAUGGCGAAGGCAGCUUACUAAUCUAUAUCUGACGUUGAGGCACGAAAGCGUGGGGAGCAAACAGGAUUAGAUACCCGAGUAGUC